This 813-nucleotide ribosomal RNA is filed under the name uncultured bacterium. RNAcentral describes it as "bacterial SSU rRNA". It matches the Rfam family "Bacterial small subunit ribosomal RNA", at positions 28 to 808 of the family's 1533-position model. The record is from RNAcentral.
GACGAACGCUGGCGGCGUGCUUAACACAUGCAAGUCGAACGAAAAGAGGGAAAGAGCUUGCUCUUUCCGGAAUUGAGUGGCAAACGGGUGAGUAACACGUAAACAACCUGCCUUCAGGAUGGGGACAACAGGCGGAAACGACUGCUAAUACCGAAUAAGUUCCAAGAGCCGCAUGGCCCAUGGAAGAAAAGGUGGCCUCUACCUGUAAGCUAUCGCCUGAAGAGGGGUUUGCGUCUGAUUAGCUGGUUGGAGGGGUAACGGCCCACCAAGGCGACGAUCAGUAGCCGGUCUGAGAGGAUGAACGGCCACACUGGAACUGAGACACGGUCCAGACUCCUACGGGAGGCAGCAGUGGGGAAUCUUCCGCAAUGGGCGAAAGCCUGACGGAGCAACGCCGCGUGAGUGAUGACGGCCUUCGGGUUGUAAAACUCUGUGAUCCGGGACGAAAAGGCAGAGUGCGAAGAACAAACUGCAUUGACGGUACCGGAAAAGCAAGCCACGGCUAACUACGUGCCAGCAGCCGCGGUAAUACGUAGGUGGCAAGCGUUGUCCGGAAUUAUUGGGCGUAAAGCGCGCGCAGGCGGCUUCCCAAGUCCCUCUUAAAAGUGCGGGGCUUAACCCCGUGAUGGGAAGGAAACUGGGAAGCUGGAGUAUCGGAGAGGAAAGUGGAAUUCCUAGUGUAGCGGUGAAAUGCGUAGAGAUUAGGAAGAACACCGGUGGCGAAGGCGACUUUCUGGACGAAAACUGACGCUGAGGCGCGAAAGCGUGGGGAGCAAACAGGAUUAGAUACCAUGGUAGUCCACGCCGUAAACG